Molecule: transfer RNA, 76 nt
Filed under: Salmonella enterica
Lineage: Bacteria; Pseudomonadati; Pseudomonadota; Gammaproteobacteria; Enterobacterales; Enterobacteriaceae
Description: tRNA-Gly
Rfam family: tRNA
About the family: Transfer RNA (tRNA) molecules are approximately 80 nucleotides in length.
Source: RNAcentral
GCGGGAAUAGCUCAGUUGGUAGAGCACGACCUUGCCAAGGUCGGUGGCGCGAGUUCGAGUCUCGUUUCCCGCUCCA